AAAAAAUGGUCUAGAGACCAAGACCGAUCUCGAGUACUACAACACUGUUACUGAGCUGUGUGUUUAUGAUCAGGCCUUUAAUAAAGUAAACAGAGCGCUGCUGUGGGGACCACACCGUAUGAGAGACGAGGGACCCAGACCGAGGUGGCCGAGGCCCCGGGAAGCCUCGGAGGGUUUAUCGGUCAGAAAGGCUCCAGAGAGCCGAGAGAGACUCGGAGGGACCCGGAGCGGCAACACUUACCUCUGUUAACAAGUCAACAUGUUAU
Long non-coding RNA from Poecilia latipinna (sailfin molly), 266 nucleotides. RefSeq lists it as uncharacterized. Lineage: Eukaryota; Metazoa; Chordata; Actinopteri; Cyprinodontiformes; Poeciliidae. The record is from RefSeq and is a predicted model, not a curated record. The transcript is spliced from 3 exons.